CCUACGGGAGGCAGCAGUGGGGAAUAUUGGACAAUGGGCGCAAGCCUGAUCCAGCCAUGCCGCGUGAGUGAUGAAGGCCUUAGGGUUGUAAAGCUCUUUUGCCAGGGAAGAUAAUGACUGUACCUGGAGAAUAAGCCCCGGCUAACUUCGUGCCAGCAGCCGCGGUAAUACGAAGGGGGCUAGCGUUGUUCGGAAUCACUGGGCGUAAAGCGCACGUAGGCGGACUUUUAAGUCAGGGGUGAAAGCCUGAGGCUCAACCUCAGAACUGCCCUUGAUACUGGGAGUCUUGAGUAUGGUAGAGGUUGGUGGAACAGCAAGUGUAGAGGUGAAAUUCGUAGAUAUUUGCUAGAACACCAGUGGCGAAGGCGGCCAACUGGACCAUAACUGACGCUGAGGUGCGAAAGCGUGGGGAGCAAACAGGAUUAGAUACCCUGGUAGUCCACGCCGUAAACGAUGGAUGCUAGCCGUUAGCCAGCUUGCUGGGUAGUGGCGCAGGUAACCCUUUAAGCAUCCCGCCUGGGGAGACGGUCGCAAGAUUAAAACUCAAAUGAAUUGACGG
RNAcentral lists this ribosomal RNA (559 nucleotides) under uncultured bacterium. Its description in RNAcentral is "bacterial SSU rRNA". It matches the Rfam family "Bacterial small subunit ribosomal RNA", at positions 338 to 916 of the family's 1533-position model. The record is from RNAcentral.